GGAUGCAAGGGCAACACAGCUGCGGCAGCUGCCGUCCCCACUAACUGCCAGGGUUGAUUCACAGAUCUGGCUGGCUGGGGAGUGUCCUCUUCUACCUUCCCUACUCCAAGUGUAUCCUCCCCAAAGCUCAUGUUCGCUGGAAACAGACAACCAUUAGAGAUAGGAGUGUACCAUUUUUUGGUCAAGAGUGUAUGAUGGCUGGUGUUCCUUUAGACCCUCCAAACAAGCUGAAGCUUCAACUGUAGAAUGGAGGGCAGGUUGACAGAACAGCUACAUCUUCAUCAUCCGUUUGGUCACGUCUCUAC
RNAcentral lists this small nuclear RNA (305 nucleotides) under Ophiophagus hannah (king cobra). RNAcentral describes it as "7SK RNA". It matches the Rfam family "7SK RNA". Rfam says of the family: 7SK was discovered as an abundant small nuclear RNA in the mid-70s but a possible function has only recently been suggested. Two independent studies have found that 7SK RNA binds the CDK9/cyclin T complex (known as elongation factor P-TEFb). Lineage: Eukaryota; Metazoa; Chordata; Lepidosauria; Squamata; Elapidae. The record is from Rfam by way of RNAcentral.